This 484-nucleotide ribosomal RNA is filed under the name uncultured bacterium. Its description in RNAcentral is "partial 16S ribosomal RNA". It matches the Rfam family "Bacterial small subunit ribosomal RNA", at positions 30 to 505 of the family's 1533-position model. The record is from RNAcentral.
AUUGAACGCUGGCGGCAGGCCUAACACAUGCAAGUCGAGCGGAUGAAGGGAGCUUGCUCCUGGAUUCAGCGGCGGACGGGUGAGUAAUGCCUAGGAAUCUGCCUGGUAGUGGGGGAUAACGUCCGGAAACGGGCGCUAAUACCGCAUACGUCCUGAGGGAGAAAGUGGGGGAUCUUCGGACCUCACGCUAUCAGAUGAGCCUAGGUCGGAUUAGCUAGUUGGUGGGGUAAAGGCCUACCAAGGCGACGAUCCGUAACUGGUCUGAGAGGAUGAUCAGUCACACACGAAAUGAGACACGGUGUCGAGACCUACGGGAGGCAGAAGAGUGGAAUAUAGGGGACUGGGCGAAAACCUGUGAUAGACCUGCGGCGCGUGUGUAGAGAAUCUUCGGAUUGUGUAAAACACUAAGUGGGGAGAGGAAGCACUAAGUUUAUACACUGCUCUUUUGACGUUACAAAAAGAAAAUAAGCACGCUCAAAUCGUG